UUCCCUAUAGCUCAGAUGGUAAAGAAUCUGCCUGCAAAGCAGGAGACCUAGGUUCAAUCCUGGGUCAGGAAG
This 72-nucleotide transfer RNA is filed under the name Bos taurus (domestic cattle). It matches the Rfam family "tRNA". From Rfam's summary of the family: Transfer RNA (tRNA) molecules are approximately 80 nucleotides in length. Lineage: Eukaryota; Metazoa; Chordata; Mammalia; Artiodactyla; Bovidae. The record is from Rfam by way of RNAcentral. RNAcentral also lists the same sequence under 5 other names.